UUAAAAAAAUCCUAAACUAAGCUGCCUCCAAUACACUCUCCUUCUCCGCGCCUCAACUUCACUUCUUCGUCUCUAACUAAUUCGAUGAUCCAAUUCUCUGAUUUGCUGAUCACAAAGAAGAAGAUGAUGGAUUCAUCCUCUGAAUCUUCAAUCUCGUAUGAACUCUUUUCACUUGGAUGUAUCACCUUGAUUUGUUUCAUUUGAUUUUGGUUGUUGAGAUUGAAAUUGAUUUUUGUGCGUGAAUGGUUAAAUACAAGAAGGGAAUAAAGAGACAAAUUAGUACACCAAACUAUUUUUAACCGUCAGAAAGCUGCAAGUUAAUUUUCUGUGGAUUAAGCGGUGAAUGGUGAUAACUCUGUUGUACCCACAAACCCCGAGACCAUGGAGAAGUGACAACCCUUUCACGGUGAUACAAUCCUUAUCAAGAGAUGCAUAAUUUACUCCUAGGACAUAUUGAAGACUCACGUAGAAGCAUUGAUUGUUCAAUGUUGUUGCAAUUACUCCCUGUGGUAAGGCAAAGCAGCCCUUGAAUUGGAUUCAGAGUGUUGCAGCAGGAGGUUUAUGGGUUCAGCACAAGUUUUUACGUAUAAUGCAAAUCCACAAAUCUUGUCAGGUGUUCGAAGUUUCCUGAAGCUAUAAUCUACAUAUCAAUUUGGAAGCUUGCAAAUUAUAUGCAAAUUGAUGAACGUACUCCAAGGUUGAUGAUUGCAGGUUGGGCACCUAAAUCGUUUUUCCUUUUCUUAGUUUCGAUUGUCUGAGCUGUUGGAUUGCACAACCCAGGUCAAUUGUGAAGACUUCCAAGCACAAGACGCAUCCUCUUUCUAUUGACAGAAAGGUUAAUUUACUUAUUGAUGACUUUUGUCCAUCUGUUUUUAGAUUAUUUUUUUCUUGGUGUAAUCAUUAUAACCAAUAUUUUUUUUAACUACGGGGGACACAAUACAGGAAUCGUUGUAUAUAUAAAUCAUUAUUAUUAUACUCCCUCCGUUUCUAAAAAUAGAUUUGUUUGAUUUUCACAAAAAUUAAGAAAACUAAUCAUUGAAGCCA
Molecule: long non-coding RNA, 1044 nt
Organism: Papaver somniferum (opium poppy)
Lineage: Eukaryota; Viridiplantae; Streptophyta; Magnoliopsida; Ranunculales; Papaveraceae
Exons: 3
Source: RefSeq, a predicted model, not a curated record